This is an RNA transcript of Setaria italica (foxtail millet), 3190 nucleotides long. It is a transcript of the gene named pentatricopeptide repeat-containing protein At1g22960, mitochondrial, with no coding region annotated. The record is from RefSeq and is a predicted model, not a curated record. The transcript has 4 exons. NCBI's taxonomy places the organism in Eukaryota, Viridiplantae, Streptophyta, Magnoliopsida, Poales, Poaceae.
AUCCCUCCGAUCCCUCCCUCUUCAACCCACGGCGCCUUCUCUCUUACUAGCCGCCGCCGCCGCCGCCGCCGCAGCUCAACCGUCGGCUACGCCGCCGCUUCCUGGGCAUCUCGGUCCAGCCCUCUCAGCCCGCCCUCCGCGCCAGGUCGGGGGCCGCCGCCUGGGGCGCGCGCGCGCGCCCUCGACCCCGUACGGCGGCCGGAAUCUGGUGGAUGCGCCGCCGCCAUCACCGCAGGUUCCUUCUCGCCGCCGCCGCGCCGUCAUUCAUGGCGAGGCGUCGCCGGGAAGGACUAGGACUUUAAUCCAUGCUAUUCAACAUCCCACACUGCAAAUCACAAGCUCCUGUAGCAGCCGCCGCCGCCGCCACCGCCGUCGCGGCUAUCCCCAGCAGCUUCCUCUCCUCCUCCUUGCCGGCGCUGGUUCCGCUGCCCCCGCCUCUGCCCGAGGAGAGCCCGUUCGCCGCGCUCCUCGCCGCUGAUCCCCCACCGCCGGAACCUCUCCGCCUGGUGCUCGCCGCGGGCGACGUCCGCUCCGCGCUCCGCGGCCUCCCGGGCCUCGCGCGCCAGCUCUUCCGGUGGGCGGAGGCCACGCCGCGGGGCUUCCCGCGCACCGCCUCCGCGUUCGCCGACGUCCUCGUCCCGCUCGCCCAAGCCAACCACCUCCGGGCCGCCUACCCUGUCUCCCUCCGCGCCCUGCACCUCGGCCUCCUCCUCCCCCUCGUGUCCCUCCUCCUAUCCGCUCCCCGCUCUCCCUCCAACCAAUCCCUGCUCAGCCUCCUCUUACGCUUGUCCACCAAGUUCACGGCCCAAUGCGGGGCUCGCGACCCCGCGCCCACGACCUGUUCGACGCUGUGCCUUGCCGCCUUCCGCGAGAUGGCGUGCCACGGCGUGGCCCCUGAUGUCAAGGACUGCAACCGUGUGCUGCGCGUGCUUCGUGAUGCAGCCAGGUGGGACGACGUUCAUGCUGUGUAUGCAGAGAUGCUCCAUCUUGGGAUUGAGCCAAGCAUUGUGACCUACAACACUUUGCUGGAUUCUUACUUGAAGGAGGGAAGGAAGGACAAGGCUGGCAUGCUGCUGAAGGAGAUGGAGACCCAGGGAGGUGAUUGCUCUCUGAAUGAUGUUACAUGUAAUGUGAUGAUUAGUUGGUUCACCAGGGAAGGUAAUCUGGACAAGGCGGCAAGGCUGGUUGACAGCAUGCGGUUGUCCAAGACAGCUUCAUCCUUUACUUACAACCCACUUAUCACUGCAUUGCUUGAAAGGGGUUUUAUAGAAAAGGUUGAGUCUUUGCAGUUGGAGAUGGAGAAUGAGGGCAUUAUGCCUACAGUGGUGACAUACAAUGCCAUUAUUGAUGGGCUCCUUAAAAGUGGGCAGGUAGAAGCUGCGCAGGUGAAAUUUGUGGAAAUGAGGGCGAUGGGCUUACUGCCAGACUUGAUUACUUACAGUUUGUUGAUAAAGGGUUAUUGUAAGGCAGGCAAUUUGAAGGAGGCAUUUUGGUUGCUUGGUGAUUUGAGACGUGCUGGGUUGGGACCAACAGUUUUGAAAUAUAAUAUUCUUAUGGAUGGUUAUUGUAGAUUAGGUGAUUUAGAAGAAGCUAGGAGAUUGAAAGAGGAAAUGGUAGAGCAAGGCUGUUUGCCUGAUGUUUGUACAUAUACUAUUCUCAUGAAUGGUUCGUGUAAGGUGAGGAGCCUUGCUAUGGCAAGAGAGUUCUUUGAUGAGAUGCUGAGCAAAGGUUUGCAGCCAGACUCCUUUGCCUAUAACACCAGGAUUUGCGCAGAGCUAACCCUAGGGGCUACUUCCAAGGCUUUCCAGUUGAAGGAGGUGAUGGUGUUGGAAGGAAUAUAUCCUGAUACAGUCACAUACAAUAUUCUUAUUGAUGGACUGUGCAAGACUGGUAACCUGAAAGAUGCCAAAGAUCUGAGGACAAAGAUGGUCACUGAUGGUUUACAGCCUGAUUUUAUCACAUAUACCUGCUUGAUUCACGCGCAUUGUGAAAGAGGACUCCUAAGAGAAGCAAUAGAACUUCUUGGUAACAUGAUCUCAGAUCAGUUUUCACCCUCAGCUGUGACCUAUACCUUUUUAAUUCAUGCAUACUGUAGAAGAGGAAACCUUUAUUCAGCAUAUGGUUGGUUUCGGAAGAUGCUGGAGGAAGGAGUUGAACCUGAUGAAAUAACAUAUAAUGUGCUCAUACAUGCACUAUGCAGGACAGGCAGAACUCAACUAGCUUAUCGUCAUUUCCAUGAGAUGCUGGAAAGGGGAUUAAUACCAAACAGAUGUACAUAUACUUUUUUGAUAUAUGGGAACUGUAGAGAAGGCAACUGGGAAGAUGCAAUGAGAUUGUAUUUUGAGAUGCAUCAGAAUGGUAUUCAUCCAGAUGAUUGCACACAUAAUGCCUUGUUUAAAGGGUUUGAUGAAGGCCGCAUGCACCAUGCAAUUGAGUACUUGGAGAAUAUCGUUUUGGGUGAAUAGAUUGUUCUCCCUGAAGAUUGACCUAUUGUCCUUGCUUCGCGGUCCCUCGAUGAUAGAUGGGGUUCUGUGGGCAAUUCCUUUUAGAAGGGAAAGGAAAAGAGAGUUUGAGACAAUCUUCUCUAAGUUGCUGGGUGCUUUCCAAAUGACUAGUUAAGCACAGAGAGGCCUUCUUGCACUUGCUGCUCAAGAGAUCGUUGAUGGAGUUGGGGGGUAGUUCUGUUAGAAAGAAGAAAAGAAAAUAGUUGAGCACAAACAGGUAAAGCAAGGAUGGUAUGUUAUGUGCAAUCCAGAGAGCCCUCUGCUUUUGCCCAAUCAGGUUCUUGAAGGCCUGCCUGGAUGCUAUAGAUGGGAAGGAGGUGUAGCUGAUAAUUGGCACGGUUGAUUUCUUGCUCCUGGAUGCUGGCUGUCCAUUACAACAAGCUUCCUGGCUUUGCUCAGAUUGGUGAAGAGGAGAGGGUACAAGACACGAGCAGUAUGGCUGGUGUAGUUCCGGAUGGUCACUAGCAGGCUGGUAGUAUGCUGUAGGAAAAAGUGCAACAAUUGAUAACUGCACGUCUCCGUUCAAAUGGUUUUGAGAUAAGCAUGGUCCUUAAGAUUUUAACAUCUGGUACCUACAAUAAAACACAAACAGUGGCACGGCAUUUGUACAUGAAUUCAAAGAUGGUCCGAAUAUAUGAAUGAUCUUUUGAAUACUGAUGCAAAUGUAUAGUAACAUAACCAUCCAA